UCUCCGUAGGUGAACCUGCGGAAGGAUCAUUAUAAAUGAAAAACGAAUAACUUCAGGGAAGAAGGGAACCUGCACGGUGACCUCCCUUGUCGGGCCACCCAAUACCUUCAAAAUGCCGCCGUCCUAGCGGUGGCAGACGAAAAAAAAACAAGAAAAACAAAAUAGAAACAGGCACGGUGGCCCGUUCACCUUCACACAACCCUCCGAGUACCGCUUCCAUGUUGCUUCCCCGCAAAUCCACCUCUUUGGUGAGCGCGGGGGAGGUCCGCAUCAAAUUCACCUGAAUGUCACAGCAGUCAGACAGCCAUUCAUGGAAACAAUAAAACUUUCAACAACGGAUCUCUUGGUUCCC
This 352-nucleotide unclassified non-coding RNA is filed under the name plant metagenome. Its description in RNAcentral is "partial contains small subunit ribosomal RNA, internal transcribed spacer 1, and 5.8S ribosomal RNA". The record is from RNAcentral.